AAACCGCAGACGGCCGCCGCUUCACUAUAUUUUCAGUGUGGGGGAUGCAAAUGCUAUUUUGACAGCUUAUGCGACGUCACAGAACAUCAAAAAACAAUGUGCCUCUGAGGCAGAAGAGACAGCCUCUACCGCCAUGGUAGCUGCUGCAGAGGCCCCUCCAGCACCUGUGGCUGCAGGGACAGUUUCACUUUGCAUUCGAAAGUGUUUCUUGAAGUCUUUCCCGGAGUAAAGAGGCACUAUAGUCUCUGCAGUCCUUGACCCGCACAGGACUUGGCGGCCUAUCCUCUACCUCUUCUCCUUGCCUUGGCAGCCUCUCUUCCUCUUGCCUCAGCACUAGUUUGGUGAACUUCACUCUUCUCUGGUGGCAGGAGACUAUGCCUGUAGCUUGCAGCAGACACGUGAGGGUCGGGAGUAGCAGGGGUGCUGGCGGCGGAGGUGGAAGCCUCGCCACUACUACCACCACGUGUCUCAGGCUCCUCACUUUCUUCUUUUUUCCACCUUUUCAAGGCUCUCUGGCGGGCUGCUUCAAUCUGAGCCUUUCUUUUACCACUUACACGUGGCAUUGUCACAAUUUGGGAACCCAACACGUGUAAAAUACGAUCAACAGGUAGGCUGCACGCACGCGCAAUCGAUUGGUACUGAGGGAGUAGCGUCUUCCUCACCCUCACUGCCUGAUCCUAAACUAUCGUACAAGUACAUCACG
Long non-coding RNA from Portunus trituberculatus (swimming crab), 703 nucleotides. RefSeq lists it as uncharacterized. Lineage: Eukaryota; Metazoa; Arthropoda; Malacostraca; Decapoda; Portunidae. The transcript has 2 exons. The record is from RefSeq and is a predicted model, not a curated record.